CGCGUAGGUGGUUAGGUAAGCGAGAUGUGAAAGCCCCGGGCUUAACCUGAGAACGGCAUUUCGAACUGUCUGACUAGAGUAUGGUAGAGGGUAGUGGAAUUUCCUGUGUAGCGGUGAAAUGCGUAGAUAUAGGAAGGAACACCAGUGGCGAAGGCGGCCCCCUGGAUCGAGACUGACGCUGAGGCGCGAAAGCGUGGGGAGCAAACA
RNAcentral lists this ribosomal RNA (207 nucleotides) under uncultured bacterium. Its description in RNAcentral is "partial 16S ribosomal RNA". It matches the Rfam family "Bacterial small subunit ribosomal RNA", at positions 568 to 774 of the family's 1533-position model. The record is from RNAcentral.